AUUGAACGCUGGCGGCAGGCCUAACACAUGCAAGUCGUGCGGAUGAAGGGAGCUUGCUCCUGGAUUCAGCGGCGGACGGGUGAGUAAUGCCUAGGAAUCUGCCUGGUAGUGGGGGAUAACGUCCGGAAACGGGCGCUAAUACCGCAUACGUCCUGAGGGAGAAAGUGGGGGAUCUUCGGACCUCACGCUAUCAGAUGAGCCUAGGUCGGAUUAGCUAGUUGGUGGGGUAAAGGCCUACCAAGGCGACGAUCCGUAACUGGUCUGAGAGGAUGAUCAGUCACACUAGAACUGAGACACGGUCCAGACUCCUACGGGAGGCGACGGUGGGGAAUAUUGGACAAUGGGCGAAAGCCUGAUCCAGCCAUGCCGCGUGUGUGAAGAAGGUCUUCGGAUUGUAAAGAACUUUAAGUUGGGAGAAAGGGCAGUAAGUUAAUACCUUGCUGUUUUGACGUAACAAACAGAAUAAGCACGGGCUAACUUCGUG
RNAcentral lists this ribosomal RNA (484 nucleotides) under uncultured bacterium. Its description in RNAcentral is "partial 16S ribosomal RNA". It matches the Rfam family "Bacterial small subunit ribosomal RNA", at positions 30 to 507 of the family's 1533-position model. The record is from RNAcentral.